GAUGAACGCUGGCGGCGUGCCUAAUACAUGCAAGUCGAACGCAUUGUGGUUGAAAUGAUAUGAAGAACUUGUUCAGAUUUGAUUUUCAACAUUGCAAUGAGUGGCGAACGGGUGAGUAACACGUGGGAAACCUACCUCUUAGCAGGGGAUAACAUUUGGAAACAAAUGCUAAUACCGUAUAAUAAUUAAAACCGCAUGGUUUUAGUUUAAAAGAUGGUCUUGCUAUCACUAAGAGAUGGUCCCGCGGUGUAUUAGUUAGUUGGUGAGGUAAUGGCUCACCAAGACAAUGAUACAUAGCCGAGUUGAGAGACUGACCGGCCACAAUGGGACUGAGACACGGCCCAUACUCCUACGGGAGGCAGCAGUAGGGAAUCUUCCACAAUGGACGAAAGUACUGAUAGAGCAACGCCGCGUGUGUGAUGAAGGGUUUCGGCUCGUAAAACACUGUUGUAAGAGAAGAAUGACAUUGAGAGUAACUGUUCAAUGUGUGACGGUAUCUU
Molecule: ribosomal RNA, 500 nt
Filed under: uncultured bacterium
Lineage: Bacteria
Description: bacterial SSU rRNA
Rfam family: Bacterial small subunit ribosomal RNA
Source: RNAcentral